RNAcentral lists this ribosomal RNA (364 nucleotides) under uncultured bacterium. RNAcentral describes it as "partial 16S ribosomal RNA". It matches the Rfam family "Bacterial small subunit ribosomal RNA", at positions 338 to 699 of the family's 1533-position model. The record is from RNAcentral.
CCUACGGGAGGCAGCAGUGAGGAAUAUUGGUCAAUGGACGAAAGUCUGAACCAGCCAUGCCGCGUGCAGGAUGACGGCCCUAUGAGUUGUAAACUGCUUUUGUAGGGGGGUAAAGGCAGAUACGCGUACCUGUCUGAAUGUACCGUACGAAUAAGGAACGGCUAACUCCGGGCCAGCAGCCGCGGUAAUACGGAGGAUCCGAGCGUUAUCCGGAUUUAUUGGGUUUAAAGGGUGCGUAGGCGGUCGGUUAAGUCAGUGGUGAAAGCCCGGGGCUCAACUUCGGAAUUGCCUUUGAUACUGGCAGUCUAGAGUGUAGUAGCGGUAGGCGGAAUUCAUGGUGUAGCGGUGAAAUGCUUAGAGAUCA